AUUGAACGCUGGCGGCAGGCCUAACACAUGCAAGUCGAGCGGAUGAAGGGAGCUUGCUCCUGGAUUCAGCGGCGGACGGGUGAGUAAUGCCUAGGAAUCUGCCUGGUAGUGGGGGAUAACGUCCGGAAACGGGCGCUAAUACCGCAUACGUCCUGAGGGAGAAAGUGGGGGAUCUUCGGACCUCACGCUAUCAGAUGAGCCUAGGUCGGAUUAGCUAGUUGGUGGGGUAAAGGCCUACCAAGGCGACGAUCCGUAACUGGUCUGAGGGGAUGAUCAGUCACACUGGAACUGGAGCACGGGCCCGACUCCUACGGGGGGCACGCGUGGGGAAUAUUUGACCAUGGGCGAAAGCCUUGUCCAGCCCUUCCGGGGGGUGUAAAGAGGUUUUCCGAUUUGUAAAGCCUUUAAGGUUGGAGGAAGGGCAGUAAGUUAAUACCUUGCUGUUUUGACGUUACCAACAGAAUAAGCACCGGCUAACUUCGUG
RNAcentral lists this ribosomal RNA (484 nucleotides) under uncultured bacterium. RNAcentral's name for it is "partial 16S ribosomal RNA". It matches the Rfam family "Bacterial small subunit ribosomal RNA", at positions 30 to 507 of the family's 1533-position model. The record is from RNAcentral.